RNAcentral lists this ribosomal RNA (252 nucleotides) under uncultured bacterium. Its description in RNAcentral is "partial 16S ribosomal RNA". It matches the Rfam family "Bacterial small subunit ribosomal RNA", at positions 524 to 776 of the family's 1533-position model. The record is from RNAcentral.
UACGUAGGUCCCGAGCGUUGUCCGGAUUUAUUGGGCGUAAAGCGAGCGCAGGUGGUUUAUUAAGUCUGGUGUAAAAGGCAGUGGCUCAACCAUUGUAUGCAUUGGAAACUGGUAGACUUAAGUGCAGGAGAGGAGAGUGGAAUUCCAUGUGUAGCGGUGAAAUGCGUAGAUAUAUGGAGGAACACCGGUGGCGAAAGCGGCUCUCUGGCCUGUAACUGACGCUGAGGCUCGAAAGCGUGGGGAGCAAACAGG